AUAAAUCGGAACGUGCCCAGUAGCGGGGGAUAACUACUCGNAAAGAGUGGCUAAUACCGCAUACGCCCUACGGGGGAAANGGGGGGGAUUUUUUCGGGAACCUCUCACUAUUGGAGCGGCCGAUAUCGGAUUAGCUAGUUGGUGGGGUAAAGGCUCACCAAGGCAACGAUCCGUAGCUGGUUUGAGAGGACGACCAGCCACACUGGGACUGAGACACGGCCCAGACUCCUACGGGAGGCAGCAGUGGGGAAUUUUGGACAAUGGGGGAAACCCUGAUCCAGCCAUCCCGCGUGUAUGAUGAAGGCCUUCGGGUUGUAAAGUACUUUUGGCAGAGAAGAAAAGGUAUCUCCUAAUACGAGAUACUGCUGACGGAUCUGCAGAAUAAGCACCGGCUAACUACGUGCCAGCAGCCGCGGUAAUACGUAGGGUGCAAGCGUUAAUCGGAAUUACUGGGCGUAAAGCGUGUGUAGGCGGUUCGGAAAGAAAGAUGUGAAAUCCCAGGGCUCAACCUUGGAACUGCAUUUUUAACUGCCGAGCUAGAGUAUGUCAGANGGGGGUAGAAUUCCACGUGUAGCAGUGAAAUGCGUAGAUAUGUGGAGGAAUACCGAUGGCGAAGGCAGCCCCCUGGGAUAAUACUGACGCUCA
This 645-nucleotide ribosomal RNA is filed under the name Alcaligenes faecalis. Its description in RNAcentral is "bacterial SSU rRNA". It matches the Rfam family "Bacterial small subunit ribosomal RNA", at positions 113 to 749 of the family's 1533-position model. Lineage: Bacteria; Pseudomonadati; Pseudomonadota; Betaproteobacteria; Burkholderiales; Alcaligenaceae. The record is from RNAcentral.